Trifolium pratense (red clover) is the source of this 1290-nucleotide long non-coding RNA. RefSeq lists it as uncharacterized. The transcript is spliced from 6 exons. The record is from RefSeq and is a predicted model, not a curated record. Lineage: Eukaryota; Viridiplantae; Streptophyta; Magnoliopsida; Fabales; Fabaceae.
ACCUUCAUGUUUUUAUGGUGCAGUCAUUAACCGGUGGCGGUGGUUUAAUUUUCCCUCACAUUCUCAAUCACGCUGAUUUGAAUUCUGAAUCACGCUUUUUGUUUGUGUAAAACACCUUCCUCAGAUAUCGUCUCGUCGUCUAGGCGUUAUCUGGUGCUCUAAUUUUCCCUCUACAAACAGUUUCAUCUAUAAAUUUGGGUUGGGUUGAGAUGGAAGGUAAAUUGGUCAUCGCUUCCAGUUUCUUCUCGUGUGUGCUAUUUCUUGUGGUUUCAUCUAUAAAUUUGUCAUCGCUUCAGGGAUGGAAAGGAUUGACGAUGCAGAAUGAAUGAACAGGGAGCACACACAACAACGGCGGCAGCCUCCGAUGUAGAGGCAAGGAUUCAGAUCCAUUCUAUUUUGGCCCUCAAUUUGUUUGUGAUUUUUCUUCUUGCUUCUACUCACAUCAUGUUUUAUUUUGUGCAUGUGAAAUCAGAGAUUGCUAUUCAUGAGACUGAGUAAAUAGUCUGGCUUCAGAUUCAAAGUCAUGCGAAGGAAUGCAUAAUGUUUGGGUGUUUUGGCACAGAACGGAUGAAACAUUACUUGCUGGCUUUGCUACAAACUAGAAGCGUUAAUGAAUGCAUUCUCUUUUUAACCACGUUAAUAUUUCAUGUCUCGUAAAUUACCAUUUUUGUUAACUAAUCUUUUUCUGGCUCCAUCAUCCCUAUUUGUUUUUGUUUCAUAUUUUUAAACCAAUUUAAUUUAAUAUAGACAUGAUAAAUAGUGGGUACACUUGCAGGAGUGAGAUUGAUAAGGCAAGCGAGUAUUUGACUGAAUAGUUGGUGUUGUAUACAUAUGGUGAAACAUAAUGGCUCAAUUGAAACUGGGAUUCUCAAUACCAUAUAUUGCUUUGUUAUUUGGUUGAUUGAAAGGGAAGAUAAUCGAGAUCUAAGGGGAAUUGGUUUCAUGCUAUGGUUUUUAGUCACUGUACUAUUUUAUGCACACAGAGAACCAACGCAGGGAACAUUUUCCAGCUAGGUGGCUUUGGCUUUGUUAUUUCAAGGAUGGUUGCUAUGACUUGAAAUUUUUUAUGAUAUUGGUUUAGGUGCUUGGGUUACAAUCUUAUUUGUAAAGCCUUGAAUAAAAAUAGCAAGGAAAAUAUUCUCACACCUUGCCAUGUUGAAUAUGAAUGAGAAUUACUUAUGUCCUUUUUGAAACCAAUCUUGAAUUGUGAGCACAAUAAAGAAAAAGCACAUGUUGUAAAAAUAGCUUAACUUUCGCAUCUUUAAUUAGUUCACUACAAAUUACCUGCAA